AUUGAACGCUGGCGGCGUGCCUUACACAUGCAAGUCGAACGGUAACAGGUCUUCGGAUGCUGACGAGUGGCGAACGGGUGAGUAAUACAUCGGAACGUGCCUAGUAGUGGGGGAUAACUACUCGAAAGAGUGGCUAAUACCGCAUGCGAUCUACGGAUGAAAGCAGGGGAUCGCAAGACCUUGUGCUACUAGAGCGGCCGAUGGCAGAUUAGGUAGUUGGUGGGAUAAAAGCUUACCAAGCCGACGAUCUGUAGCUGGUCUGAGAGGACGAUCAGCCACACUGGGACUGAGACACGGCCCAGACUCCUACGGGAGGCACCAGUGGGGAAUUUUGGACAAUGGGCGAAAGCCUGAUCCAGCAAUGCCGCGUGCAGGAUGAAGGCCUUCGGGUUGUAAACUGCUUUUGUACGGAACGAAAAGCCCCGGGUUAAUACCCUGGGGUCAUGACGGUACCGUAAGAAUAAGCACCGGCUAACUACGUGCCAGCCGCCGCAGUAA
This 498-nucleotide ribosomal RNA is filed under the name uncultured bacterium. Its description in RNAcentral is "partial 16S ribosomal RNA". It matches the Rfam family "Bacterial small subunit ribosomal RNA", at positions 30 to 523 of the family's 1533-position model. The record is from RNAcentral.